GGCUCAGAUUGAACGCUGGCGGCAUGCUUUACACAUGCAAGUCGAACGGCAGCGCGGGGCAACCUGGCGGCGAGUGGCGAACGGGUGAGUAAUACAUCGGAACGUACCCAGAAGUGGGGGAUAACGUAGCGAAAGUUACGCUAAUACCGCAUACGUUCUACGGAAGAAAGUGGGGGACCUUCGGGCCUCAUGCUUUUGGAGCGGCCGAUGUCUGAUUAGCUAGUUGGUAGGGUAAAGGCUUACCAAGGCGACGAUCAGUAGCUGGUCUGAGAGGACGACCAGCCACACUGGGACUGAGACACGGCCCAGACUCCUACGGGAGGCAGCAGUGGGGAAUUUUGGACAAUGGGCGCAAGCCUGAUCCAGCAAUGCCGCGUGAGUGAAGAAGGCCUUCGGGUUGUAAAGCUCUUUUGUCAGGGAAGAAACGGCCGAGGUUAAUACCUUUGGCUAAUGACGGUACCUGAAGAAUAAGCACCGGCUAACUACGUGCCAGCAGCCGCGGUAAUACGUAGGGUGCAAGCGUUAAUCGGAAUUACUGGGCGUAAAGCGUGCGCAGGCGGUUUUGUAAGUCUGACGUGAAAUCCCCGGGCUCAACCUGGGAAUUGCGUUGGAGACUGCAAGGCUGGAGUCUGGCAGAGGGGGGUAGAAUUCCACGUGUAGCAGUGAAAUGCGUAGAGAUGUGGAGGAACACCGAUGGCGAAGGCAGCCCCCUGGGUCAAGACUGACGCUCAUGCACGAAA
This 740-nucleotide ribosomal RNA is filed under the name Massilia sp. Sco-D15. RNAcentral's name for it is "bacterial SSU rRNA". It matches the Rfam family "Bacterial small subunit ribosomal RNA", at positions 21 to 758 of the family's 1533-position model. Lineage: Bacteria; Pseudomonadati; Pseudomonadota; Betaproteobacteria; Burkholderiales; Oxalobacteraceae. The record is from RNAcentral.